This is a non-coding RNA of Myodes glareolus (Bank vole), 2577 nucleotides long. Lineage: Eukaryota; Metazoa; Chordata; Mammalia; Rodentia; Cricetidae. The record is from RefSeq and is a predicted model, not a curated record.
UCGGCGCUUACUAAUGCAGAAUUCGAUUAUGUGCUGACUGUCCCUGAGAAAUAAGCUCUCCCCACCGCCAGGAAGCAUGUGGAAAGUCCAGAGUCAGCAGGUGGACAAUGGACGCUGAUGACAGCUGGGUCCCCAUGCAGGCAUCAAAAGGCAGCAGGAAAAGACCAUAAGCUUGGCAUUAGACACCUGAGGUGUGCCAAUCAGUGCUCCCUCGAGGAACGGAACCAACAGAAUGAGUCUGUAACAGAGGUGGGCAUCGGAGCUGCUUACGUGGCACAGGCCGGGUCAUCCAACAGUGGCUGCCUGUACGCUGAAGAGGCUGAGAAUGCAGCUGCUGUUCAGUCCUAAGACUGAAUGCUUCCACAGUCCUGGUUGGGUGCUGAAGAUCUGGAGGAUUCCGGAAGAGCUGCUGGUCUUUGUUCCAUAUUAGGAGGCCAAAGAAGUUAGGCUGUGAUGGCAGCGAAGAAUGGCCCCAGCAGCAACUAACCUCACUCACACCAGGGAGCAAGGGCAAGCAAGCGUGAAGGAUGCAGGAGUAAAGGAUCAUGGAUUCUGCCUCUGGAGUUUCAGAGAGCAACUGGGGCCAGCCAGUAUAUGACAUGAAGGCCCUUUGAGAGAGGAGCAGGCCAUGAGAGGCCAUUGAAUGAAUCUAUGAAGGCUGUUGAGAGUUAAAGAUAAUGUGUGUGAAAACGCCCCGGGCAGAAGGCAGGUGCUAUUAUUUGUAAUUUACUGAUGAAGAAACUGAGGAUUUGAGGCCUCGCUUGAGCGCCAGUCUGGAGUCCUGGGAAAGAUGGUUUCCAAAGAAAAUACCCAGGGCUCCCUUGAGCUCUGAAGAUGCCUUCAAAGGCCUCGCCAAACGAGAAUCACUGAUGGCAGAGCUCCCUUUUCCUGCCAGCGCGUGGAAAGGAAGCGUGGUGUUCCCUGUGUGUCAAUACGGAUUUAUUUUACACCUUUUCGGAUUUAAAUUCACACCAGAAAGCAUUACCCUGGAGUAUUUCAGCUGCAGACGGACCAGACAGGGAUAGGAAUGGGAUUCUCUUCUUCACAAAAGGCCAUGGAAAAGCCCCGAGAGCUUCAGCCAGGGACAAACCCUCAGCUCAGAUGACUCGGGGAGACAGGUGCCCAAGAAGAAACCAGACAUGCACAUGCACAGGGACAGUUCUGGGCCUGCUCCUUUGUUCCAGGGUGGACGGCUCUUAAAAAAAAAAGAAAGAAAAGAAAAGAAAAAGAAAAAGUAUUGCGUGUAUUUUAUGUGUAUGUGUUCCUGUGUUUGCGCAUGUGCACCCACGUGCCAUGUUGCGUGUGGAGGUCAGAGGACAACUUGCAGGAGCCUGUUCUCUCCUUCCACCAUAUAGGUUUCCUGGGAUCUAACUGAGGGUCAGGCUUGGCGGCAAGCCCCUUUGCCAUCCUCCAAAAGAUCGUUGUGGGACUCCCAAGUGGGCCUUCAGUGCCCUUUGAUGGAAAAGCAAAUUUCAGUGGCCAGGGAAGGUAAGACCUCUACUUUGGAAGGAGCAUACAUCACCCUGCACACGCGGAUGUGACAGAAGGAAAAUGUGGUAGGCAAAGUGAAAUGUCAGUAUUUGUUACCGAUGGAGUAAAGAUAGGGUUUCAGGCGAUUCCUCGUUUGUUUGCUUGUCUUGACACCCCUCCCCCCGUUUUCUGGCUAGUCGGUGAAGUUGCUUGUAGCGAGAACUGCAGCCAGAAGAGGACAGGGUUCUCCAGGAGCUGGAGAAGAGAGGGAACCCAGAAGCGACCCCAGCAGGGUGACAGUCUUUCUAGGUGCUUUCUAGGUGGAGAUGUCACCAGGAGGGCUUGUCCUGGGAGGACACGGCCCGCCCUCCUCCCCAGGCCGUGAAUCCAGGCUUGGAGUGGCCUGUGCGGGGAUCCGGGGUGUGGCCAAGGACAGCUGCCAGUGUGACCCGGGGCCUAUUGGCAGAUCGGAGUUGAAAGUGUGUUGGGCGUCUCUAGAGCGCUUUACUGGGCUUAGUUCCCAGGUUCACGGAAAGAGCCCGCACCGCCAGAGUCAUGGCCUCUGGGCUCGGACAGCGCCCCCUGUCGGUCUUCACGCGUUGUGGUCAGGACCGGAAGCCCCACGUCCUGUCCUACGGCAGCAGCCGCCUGCCCGCAGCUCGGCCGCCCUCUGCUGGCAGAAAGUCUGAACGACACUUGGCGUUUGCUGUGCCCUUGAAAACGGAGAAAGCUGGGCACAGCGGUGGGGAAAGGGGACGCCUGAGAGGGAGGACCUUGGUUACUCUCAAUGUCUUUGUGGGGCUUUCGAGGAGCACGACAAGAUGACUACCCGUCCCAGGGUCCCUCUAGGUCUGUGAGUGGCCUGCUGAACAAGCCCGGCUGGUGUGCCAAGCGCCCUGCAGUGGUGUGGGGGCGGGGAUGCAGGGGUGCGAUGGUCCUCAUCUGGAUGUCUUCGAAAAAGUGCUACAAACCGAGAGGCUUAAAUAUCAUAUUAUAUUCAGAAAUGAAUUACUUCCUAAUAUCGCUCUCUGAAGGCUCCAGGGAGGGUCACGGGCAGAACUAAAUUCGUCCCACAUGGCUUUAUCCCUGAGCCCACCUUGCGUGUCU